ACGCCCGCCACGCACAAAGCUCAGAGGAAGAGAGAUUGCGCGAUUGAAAUUGAAAUUGAUCGUUUUAAAUUCAACCUUUUUGUUAAUUCAUUCGAAUAUUGAAGCAGAAGAAGAAGAAGAAGAAGAAGAAUGGCGUUGAAAUUUCUGAACAAGAAGGGAUGGCACACAGGGAGCCUUCGGAACAUAGAGAACGUGUGGAAGGCAGAGCAAAAGCACGAGGCCGAGCAGAAGAAGUUGGACGAGCUCUGCAAACAGAUCGUUGAAGAGCGCAAGAGUGAUUGGAGCGGUUGAAGUUCUUGUAUGAUUUGGGAUUGGCCGUUGGGCGCCCUGGUGGUUCCGAUAGUUUCAAAACCUUUGAAGCCUUACCCAAGACCGAAGAAGCGCCUUCCUCCUCUGCCGCCUCCAAGCAGCAGGCAUCAGCGUCUGUGCCGGGAGCUCUGUUCGAAGAAAAGCCUCAAUCUGCCAAUGAUGCUUGGAGGAAGCUCUACUUGGAUCCUUUGCUUAUGAUAUGGCAGCGUGAGCAGGAAGCCCUUUCUCGUAUUAAGAACAAUCCUGUCCAGAUGGCCAUGAUUCGCAAUUCUGUUGAAGCGAAGAAGCCCGAAGAGAAACUGCAUGACAAGAAGGAACAUCAGAAGAAGAAGCACCAUAAUGGUGCUUCAAAGCAUAGAAAACAUUCAUCAUCCAUACAAGCAUCAGAUUCAGAAAAUGAU
This is a non-coding RNA of Prunus mume (Japanese apricot), 710 nucleotides long. Lineage: Eukaryota; Viridiplantae; Streptophyta; Magnoliopsida; Rosales; Rosaceae. The record is from RefSeq and is a predicted model, not a curated record.